GAGCAAUUGUAUGAUGUUACUUGCAACCACCAAGAUCUAUGAAUGCCGUGAUUAGUUCACGUAUUUGCUAUCUGAAGUAGUUUACACAUCAAGUUAUUUUUUGGUUAUUAAAAUAUAAUUAUUAACGAAAACAAAUUAUUUCAGAUAUUAUUAAUAAAAUGCGACACAUGGAAUACUCGGGAUGAGAAUCAUACUAAAACAUAUUAUCAAUAAAAUACGACAUAUAGAAUUCUCGAAGGAGAAUCAUGCUAAAACAUAUUAUUAAUAAAAUGCGACACAUGGAAUACUCGGAAUGAGAAUCAUGCUAAAACAUAUUAUUAAUAAAAUGCGACACAUGGAAUACUCGGAAUGAGAAUCAUGCUAAAACAUAUUAUCAAUAAAAUACGACAUAUAGAAUUCUCGAAGGAGAAUCAUGCUAAAACAUAUUAUCAAUAAAAUACGACAUAGAAUUCUCGAAGGAGAAUCAUGCUAAAACGUGGCCGUGAAUGCGUCAUUUCUGUUUGCAGUUUUCGGAGAAGGUGAUCAGUUACUCUGGAAACUUUCAAAUACCACACGUGCCCGUUGCAACAGUUUAGGUUAUAUAAGGAUGUAUGCUGUGUAACUACGCGUAUACUUAUAAUUAAUGGCAAAUUUGUGCGACAGUGCAAACGUCCUUGGUGCGUUACAGUAUGUAGCAUUUCUUUGCAUUCUUAGCUCAUUAAGUUUUUGUCAAAUUGCGAAAGUGUUCGUGUAGCCUAGGAUACAGCUUCUUAUGUGUACUUUACGACAUCAGAAAAUGAAAGGCAUAAUGGAGACAUGUUUACAAGUGUCUCCAUUGUCAUCAGUUAUCUCAAUAUUCAUGGACCUUGCUCCAUGCUUUGUGGUAGAAGUGAAAAAUCGUGUGUCCUAACGAGCCGUUAAGGGACUCGUUCUGCACAAACAUAGGCCAUAUUUUUGGGCCUCUUGUUUAUGCAAUAAAUAUACACUUUGAAGUAAUUGGUACGAGCUUGUAUGAUUAUUUAAAUCAUAGUUUCCGAACUUUUUCUUUGGUUCACAAUUCCUAAUCCAAAUUUGUUUCCUUUAUACUCAUAUUUAGGAUCUUAAUAAUGAAAAUGUGCUAAACGAUCACAUUGAAAAUAAAAGAAAAUAUUAAAAGCUUUCAGAGCAUACAUUAGAAAAUUGUGAUCUAAAUAAAAAUUAUAUUGGCUACAAUUAAUCCUGAAAUGGACUAUUAUAUAUAGAUUUUCAUGGCUCUGUAUUUUCUACACCUCAAUUGUACUUUUCGAGUUCAAUUUGGAAAUUCGCUGAAGCGUUGACAUAACAAUCAUAGUAAUUUAGUUACCAAAUAGUAUAUUUAAUUUUAAGUAAGGAAAAUGACACUCAGUUGUGUAAAUCAAUAAAUGGCGUAGUGAACAUUA
Non-coding RNA from Megalopta genalis, 1397 nucleotides. Lineage: Eukaryota; Metazoa; Arthropoda; Insecta; Hymenoptera; Halictidae. The record is from RefSeq and is a predicted model, not a curated record.